UCUCUCUCUCUCUCUCUCUUCUCUCCCCCUCAUUUUGAUCUCCCUCUCCCUCUCUCCUUCUCACUUUCUUUUCUCUCUCUACCACCAUUGAUGGUCAUUACCAAGCUCCAAGAAUCAUUCUCAUACUUAGAUCUAUCCUAAAUCAAGCUCUAAACAUCCAUUUCCUUUGAAUCAAGCCAAGAUUGGAAGAGUUUCUCAAGGUUGAAGUCAAAGAAAGAUUUUUAUUAUUUCCAAAUCCUUGAGUAAGUGAUGAAUCAUUUUAGAUCUAGACUUAUUUGUGUUGUAUAUGUAUAUAUAUGGUUAGAUCAAAUGAGAAAAACAUCCCUCUUUUUAAAAAAAAAUCGAAAAUUAGGGUUCUACCCUUCAAAAAAAUUUCUUUUUCUUUUCUCAAAUUGAAGUGAUAUUCAUGCUAUUGGGAUCUUAUUUCCAUGUGUAGAGAAUAGAUUUAAAAAGAGAUAAGAUUUGAAAUAGUUUAGUUUGUGUAAUUUUGGGAAGUUUUGAUUUUGAGUCUUGAUUGAUGAGUUGAUGGAUGAUACAUGCUUUUGAGAGUGUUAUAUGAUGUUUCAUGGUGCUUUAAUUUACUAAUUGCUUGCUUAUUUAUGCUAUUACGUGUGUCAAUUUGAUAGAUCUAAGGUUUGAUUUGUGAGUUAUACAUGUUUAAAGAUUUUCAAAAAGUGUAGUUUGUUAAAAAUUAGGACCUUUUGAUUUAUGUGCUAAAUAUCUAAAUUGGCUAAGGUUAAUUGAUAUUAAGUAUGAUAGAAACGAUUAUUAAUGAUCAAUUUGAUUAAUUGUUGAUUAUGUGUGAAUUUGCUUGAGUUUAGUUUACUAAGAUUUGGGUAUUCUUGAUUAAUGGAGUCAAUGUUUGGAUUAAUGAUAUUUAUAUGCUAAUUGGACUAUAUAUAAAGGAGGAUAGCGUGAUUAAAUUGGUUAAUGAUGUUAAUUUGUGAAAAUUCACCGAGUUUAGUUUGCACGUAUGUAAGAGAUCUUUCAUAUAAGAUGAGUUAUGAGUUAAGGAUGUUUAUAUGUGGCUUGUUAAUGAUAAAUUGAGCCUAUAUAUGCGAUAUGAGACGAAAUGAAUCGUCCCCUAAAAACUUGUGUGUUGACCGAAUACAUGCUGAAGAAGGGGAAGUUAAAUUUGAUUUUUCUUGAGUCAUACGAUCAUAUAUUUGUGUUCUUGUGUAUUAUGUUAGCUUAAGUUGAAUUUUUGAGAAUUUUCUGACAUAGAAAUCUCGAGUUUAGUUUGUUAAAAAUGACAUAAAUUGGAAUUACUUUCUCAUGUGAAUUAUUUUUAGUUAAUCAAUUCAAGAAUGUUUUAUAAUAUGCUCUUAGCUUUCUAAAUUGAAUUUUUGGAAUUUUUUCCCAACUAAAAAUAUUUUUCCGUUUUUACGAAAAGUUUUUAAAUGUGUUUGCUAAGGUGCUUUUGAACUUGAUUAAUUAUUCUAUGAGCUAAUUUAGGAUUAAUUGAUGAUGUUUUGUGUGUGCUUAUCUAUGUGUUUGUGUGUUGAUGUAGUCUAGUUCUAUAUGAGUGAUAAGUCAAGAGUAGGAUUUGUGUUUACUUAGGAAGUCUAGUUGUUAUGAGAAUGUUAUAGUUGGAGUGAAGUGAUGAGAAGCGUUAGGAUAUACUAAGAUAAGAGUAGUAUUCUUAGUAAGGAAGUUUCUGACUUAUUUUAUCUUAUCUCAUGGGUCAUCUAUGUCGUCUAUGAUAUCUGAAGAAACGAGCAGAGGACGAAAAUCAAUUACGUCAAGUAUCGAGGAAAGUAAGUUAAAGACUUCAGGUGAGCAUUAUUUUAAUACCCCUAUUAUACAAGCUUUCUAAAAUCAAAUGAUGUUUAUGAGUAUGGUAAUGAUUUAUGUUAAUGUUAUGUUGAAACUAAUUGACUUGCCAAGUUUUAAUGAUAAACUUGUAUGUUACCCUCUACUGUUGAGACGAAUUCGGUCCUACCACAAGCGGGAUUUUGUGCACAAAGGUGAUUGUGAGCCGUCGAUUGGGUAGGCCGGUCACGGUAUUUGACAGGGAGGCCUACUUCUCAGUACCUUUGAUGUUGAAUAGUGGAUAUGGUACAUGUAUGAUGAAUGUUUAAACUACGCAGUUGCUUUAUUGUGAUGUUAUGGUUUGCGAAAUUGCUUGCACAGGUUCGUUUAUACUAAAAUCCCUAUGUGAUGCUUAUAUUGUGGCAAGUUCAAUUUAUAGCUCUAAGAGCAAGCUUUCAUUGUUUUUUCGGCUUAUGUCCACUGAGUAUUCUGUACUCAGCCAUGCAUGUAUUUCUAAACGUGCAGGAUAAGCGAGGAGGGAGAUUGGUUUGGUGCUGGUGGAGGCUUGUUUCGGACGAUGUUAUCCUUUUACCGUAUUUAUAUUUCAUACGGUAGCAUUUUGAUGUUGGAGUUUUUAUUUUUGGACUUAGUCAAGAAGUAUAAUCCCGGAUAUACGUCUUCAUACAUAUAGUCUGUUCACGUUUUGCUGCGAGACUCUGUAAAUUAUGAACCUUUGUGAAUAUUUAACUAUGUCCACUUUGUAAACUUUGUCGAGAAUCCUAAUACUUUUGAACUUAUGAACCCGGUAAUACUUAUGUCUUUGAGAUGAUGUUAUUGUUAAUUGCCUUUGCAAGUAUUGUUGCGAGCUUCAGCUUGAUAUUCGAUUUGAUUUCUCUAUCUUUAUUUUUUUCUUUUAUUUAGUCGUAUCGAUACCCGGUCUACGCUAUCACUAGCUAGAUGUCGGGCUGCGACAGUAUUGAUAUAACUAAAAGUAAAUACUUAUAUUAACAUAAGGGUUCAAGAUUUAGUGUUUAGGGUUUAAGGUUUAGAAUUUAGAAUUUAGAAAAUAUAAUACUUUAUAUUGAGUAAAGGUAAAUACUUAUAUUAACAUAAGUAUACAUAUGUGCGAACAAAUGUAUAUCUUAUGAUUAUUAAAAGUAAAUAUUCGUACUAGGGUUAAGGAUUUCGUAUUCAUGGUUCAGGGGUUUAGUGUUCAAGGUUUAGAGUUUAGUGUUCAGGAUUUAGGAUUUAGAAAAUAUAAUACUUUAUAUUGAAUAAAGGUAAAUACUUAUAUUAACUAUUGAUGUGAUGAAAAGUAAUGUAUCAAAAACAUUACAUUGGUUCAUGUCAAUAAUUACUUUUCAUUAUAAUAACAAUUACUUUGAAUAACGUAGAAAAUAAAUAGAAUAUAGAAGAAAAAAAAUCAAAUAAUAAUUCAAGUAAUCAUUGUAUUGAGAAAAAGUAGCUAUUAAUAAGAUGAAAUGUAAUGUUUCUAUUAUUACAUUUGUUCGCAAUAAUUUUUACUUUUGUUAAUGAGAAUUUGUACUCUCUUUCAGCUACCCCAGACCCGUCCAUCCCACACCCUGACCUGCGCCCAAACCCACCCGACCCGCGCCCCGACCCGUCUCAUGGUAUGAGAUCAACCUCACCCAGGACCAACCCUAGGCAGAAAAUUCAUUUUAAGUGCUAAUAAUUUUCACGAAAUGCAGUAAAUUUGUAUACUGAAUUUAAUAUACUUAUAUUUUAAAGAAAAUUUUAGUUAUUACGAUAUCAACUCCUAUUAUGUAAAGAUAUAUUAAAAGUUGUAAGAGUUCUACUAAUAAUUCAUACUAAUUAAAUGCAUUUAGUUGCACGCAUAUACUUAUUAUCAGAUAGUACUAUAUUUACAUUAACCAACAUCAUAUUACAAAAUCAUGACAUAGACAAAUUAACUUACGUUACAAAAUCAUGAUAUUGGCAAUCAUCGAAGAACUCCACCAUGUUUAAAUGGGGCCUCAGAUAGCUCUAGAAAUAUAGGGUGUUUAAUUUAUAGUAUAUGUGAAAUACACACCCUUCUCUCAGUUCACUACAAAAUUCAAUUCCAUUAGAAAACACAAACAUGAUGAUGAUGAAGAGGGAAACCAAUUUUCCACACUUGGGAAUGGGUUUAGAAAGAUUAAAUUUAUACGGAUUACAGUAGUAAAAAAUUUAACAGUAAAACAUGAAUGUAACAUAAAAAACAUGAAUAUAUAUUCGUAAGACAACAUUUUUUCGAAUAUAUAUCACAUGUCAACGGCUUCCUUUUCCUGUUUUAUAAACCGUCAUGGUUGGUUAAUAAAGAUCAAAAUCUUAUCUGCAAACUUUUUCUUCUAUAUUGUUCCUUAAUAAAGACUGAGCCCAAAAUUAAUUAAGGGUGAGGCUCAAUUCACAAUCAAAAGAGAAAGGCCCAAAUUAAAUAAAUGAGGAGCUCAACUUUAACAAAUAAGUCGGCCCAAACAUCAUAAGGGAAAGGCCCAAAAGAAAAGAAUAAACACAGCCCAAACUCUCCCUCUACUCACUAUCGGUCUCUCUCUUUUUCCCCCAAACUCAAUUCUCGCUUUUCUCUCUCUGAUCUCUCUCAAAGCCGGCCGCUCGGCUCUUCUUCAAAUCGAUCGGCUCCUCCUUCUCCGGCCACUCAGCUACCGGCGCACACAACUCCGGCGCCCUUCUCCCCUGUUCUUCUGCUGAACUCGCCCAAGGCAAAAAGGCGAGCCCUAAAUCGAGCCAUAAUCUGGAAAUUAUCGCCGCUGAUGCCACGCCCGUUUGGAAUCCGGUCGAGGUCGUCGUCUGGGAGUGGCGCCGUUGUCGAGCCCUAGCUUCCAGAAAAGGGAACAAUCGCCACUGCCGAGCGGCUGCUGCUCCGUCCCUGGUACCAGCUAGUUUCUUCCUCUCCUUCUCGAAUCGUCUCUUCUGGUUUGGUAACCGCCGUAGCUGUCGUUCUCGGGUCUCGAUGAGGUCGUGUGUGUUCGUCCCUGUCACGGUUAUCGCCGUCUAAGUCUCAACCGAACGAGGCAGUCGGCCCUUCCCCUUCUAAAAGCUAAGUUCCACUUUCCUCUUCUUCUCUAGUUUCUAGUUGUUAAGGGGAGGAAGAUUCUCAAGCUUGUUGCUCUAAAAUGCAGCAGGAUGAAAAGCAUAAAUCUUUCUAUGGUUUUACAUAUUAUGCCCAUUUGGCACAGUGGUGAAAUGUGAUUAUGCCUCUGAUAUGAAUGCGAACUGAAUGAUUAUUGGAGAUAGCAAAAUACCUCGCUUGUUUUCAAAUGAUUGGUUGUUGCUGGAGUUGAGUGAAGUGUGAAAUAAUCUGAAAUGAACAAUUGUUCUCCUUUAAUGCAGGUGAACUAAUCAAAGAGAAUGAAGUUAUUGAAGCCAAGUCUUACCUUGAGAGCUUCGGCUGAAUGAGCUGGGGCUAUUCUGUGAUUUUCUUUUGGGUGAAAUGAGUUGAGAGUGAAAACUGCAUUUGUUGGCUGGGCUGAUACUAAUAGAGAAAAUGACGCUGCAUACUUGAGUAUGCUAGGAGGAUGAGCAGGCAUAGGGUGGCUGGAGGUAGAAGCUUGAGGGAACCGGGCAGCCAUGGAAGGCGGCUGGAAGAGUUUUGCUGAAGGUGG
This 5372-nucleotide long non-coding RNA is filed under the name Salvia miltiorrhiza (redroot sage). Its description in RNAcentral is "long non-coding RNA (SMIL_LNC007639)". The record is from RNAcentral. Lineage: Eukaryota; Viridiplantae; Streptophyta; Magnoliopsida; Lamiales; Lamiaceae.